GUAUUCACCUGGCAGGGGAGAUACCAUGAUCAUGAAGGUGCUUUUCCCAGGGCGAGGCUUAUCCAUUGCACUCUGGAUGUGCUAACGCCUGUGACUUCCCCAAAUGCGGGAAACUUGACUACAUAAUUUGUGGUAGUGGGGGACUGCAUUAGAGAUUUCCUCUG
Callithrix jacchus (white-tufted-ear marmoset) is the source of this 164-nucleotide small nuclear RNA. Its record names the gene U1. It matches the Rfam family "U1 spliceosomal RNA". From Rfam's summary of the family: U1 is a small nuclear RNA (snRNA) component of the spliceosome (involved in pre-mRNA splicing). Its 5' end forms complementary base pairs with the 5' splice junction, thus defining the 5' donor site of an intron. The record is from Ensembl. Lineage: Eukaryota; Metazoa; Chordata; Mammalia; Primates; Cebidae.